CUUUAACAAAUGUCUCCCUAUCCUGCCUUUCCCCUACCCCUCCCAGCCUCUAGUAACCUCUGUUCUGCUUUUCAUAUCUGAGUAAACUUUUUAAAAUUUCUACAUAUGAGUAAGAACAUGAGGUGUUUAACUUUCCGUGCCUGGCUUAUUUCACUUAACAUAAUGUCCUCCAGUUCCAUCCGUAUUGCUGUGAAUGACAGGAUUUCAUUCUUUUUAAUGGCCGAAUGGUAUUCCAUUUUGUAUAUAUACCACAUUCUCUUUUAUCCAUUUGUCUGUUGAUGAAUACUUGGGUUGAUUCCAUGUCUUGGCUAUUGUGAACAGCACUGCAAUAAACAUGGGGCGCACAUUUUUAAAAAUCACAAAAUUGACAUAUUUGCAAGUCAAAGAUGUAAUGGGAACUUAGCUCUCUGCAUUUCUGCUGGAAAUCUAAUUUCUCUAAAAGCAGAACAUGCAUUUUUGACCUUGUCUUACUAAUCAUUUUAUUUUGCAGAAGGAAGAGGAAGAAACAAAAGGAACUUCUCUCUUAGAUUUAAUUCUGACCUACCAGGAAGAACUGGAUUGUUGAAGCAGAAGUACUGGAGUCUCUGGAGCUAGUAUCCACGCAAUUCAUCCAUUUAUUCCUCAAGCAUGUGUUAAGCGUUUGGCGAUGCUUCACGAUGUUGGACUCUGGACAUUCACAGAAGAUGAACACAUCUCACAAAAGAUCUGGAUUUUGUCUGGAAACUCAAGUAUAAGACCUAGCACCACUUGCCAAGGACCUCUGCUUUGCUUUGGUAGGCCAAGGGUCUGGCUCUGUUACCCAGGCUGGAUUGCAGUGGUGCAAUCUCGGCUCCUGUAACCUUCACCUCCUGUAACCUUCACCUCCUGGGCUCAACCCAUCCUCUGGCCUCAGCCUCCUGAGGAACUGGGACUUACAGGUGUGCCACCACACACAGCAAUUUUUUUUUUUUUUGUAUUUUUGGUAGAGAUGGGGUUUCAUCAUGUUGGUCAGGCUGGUCUCUAACUCCUGGGCUCAAGUGAUCUGCCCAUCUCAGCCUCCCAAAGUGCUGGGAUUAUAGGCGUGAGCCACCGCACCAAGCCCUACUUUGUAUUUUGAAUAGAAGCAACAGCAGUGAUGGGAUUCGUACUCCAAACCUCAGCGUCACACAACAUUCCCAUGCAGCAAAUCUGCACAUGUAUCCUCUGUAUCUAAAAUAAAAGUUGAAAUGUUUUUAAAAAGAAGCAAUGGUAGCACUCUGUUUUAAACUAAUGUUAAUGUUCUCAAAGCCACAGUGGAAGAAAUCCACUACAUAUCACCUAGAACUGGAGAUCUAAUCUGACAGGUGGGCCACAGUACUAAUAAUGUGAGCACAAUUCCUAUACAAAAUUUUAUUAAACUGUAUUAGUUGAGCAGACAAAACUACACAGACACUCUUCUCUCUGCCUUGUUCCUUCUUGUACUCUG
RNAcentral lists this long non-coding RNA (1444 nucleotides) under Homo sapiens (human). RNAcentral's name for it is "HSALNT0210947". Lineage: Eukaryota; Metazoa; Chordata; Mammalia; Primates; Hominidae. The record is from RNAcentral.